AUACGGGGGGUGCAAGCGUUAAUCGGAAUUACUGGGCGUAAAGCGCGCGUAGGCGGUUUGCUCAGUCGGAUGUGAAAGCCCAGGGCUCAACCUUGGAACUGCAUACGAUACUGGCAAACUAGAGUGUGAGAGAGGAUAGUGGAAUUUCCGGUGUAGCGGUGAAAUGCGUAGAUAUCGGCAGGAACAUCAGUGGCGAAGGCGACUGUCUGGCUCAACACUGCCGCUGAGGUGCGAAAGCGUGGGUAGCAAACAGGAUUAGAAACCCUAGUAGUCC
Molecule: ribosomal RNA, 274 nt
Filed under: uncultured bacterium
Lineage: Bacteria
Description: partial 16S ribosomal RNA
Rfam family: Bacterial small subunit ribosomal RNA
Source: RNAcentral